This 460-nucleotide ribosomal RNA is filed under the name uncultured Treponema sp. Its description in RNAcentral is "partial 16S ribosomal RNA". It matches the Rfam family "Bacterial small subunit ribosomal RNA", at positions 341 to 792 of the family's 1533-position model. Lineage: Bacteria; Pseudomonadati; Spirochaetota; Spirochaetia; Treponematales; Treponemataceae. The record is from RNAcentral.
ACGGAAGGCAGCAGCUAAGAAUAUUCCGCAAUGGACGAAAGUCUGACGGAGCGACGCCGCGUGGAUGAUGAAGGUCGGAAGAUUGUAAAAUCCUCUUAUAACUGAGGAAUAAGCAGGGUGAGAGAAACGCCUUGUGGUGACUGUAGGUUAUGAAUAAGCAACGGCUAAUUACGUGCCAGCAGCCGCGGUAACACGUAAGUUGCGAGCGUUGUUCGGAAUUAUUGGGCGUAAAGGGCAUGUAGGCGGUCAUAUAAGCUUGAUGUGAAAGGCAGGAGCUCAACUCCUGGACUGCGUUGAGAACUGUAUGACUGGAGUCACUGAGGGGCAGACAGAAUUCCAGGUGUAGGGGUGAAAUCUGUAGAUAUCUGGAAGAAUACCAAUGGCGAAGGCAGUUUACCAGCAGAUGACUGACGCUGAGGUGCGAAGGUGCGGGGAGCAAACAGGAUUAGAUACCCUGGUA